This 255-nucleotide ribosomal RNA is filed under the name uncultured bacterium. RNAcentral's name for it is "partial 16S ribosomal RNA". It matches the Rfam family "Bacterial small subunit ribosomal RNA", at positions 524 to 776 of the family's 1533-position model. The record is from RNAcentral.
UACAGAGGGUGCAAGCGUUGUUCGGAAUUAUUGGGCGUAAAGGGAGUGUAGGCGGUUAGUUAAGUCUGCUGUGAAAUCUACGGGCUUAGCCUGUAACGUGCAGCGGAAACUGGCUGACUUGAGUAUCGGAGAGGGCAGGGGAAUACCCAGUGUAGAGGUGAAAUUCGUAGAGAUUGGGUGGAACACCAGUGGCGAAGGCGCCUGCCUGGCUGAUUACUGACGCUGAGACGUCGAAAGCAUGGGGAAGCAAACAGG